UAUGUUGUUUUUGAGGAAGUUUAGAAAUAUUUAACACUGUAUUUGCUAAUACUUGUUUUAUUUUUAAGUACAUCAUAUCUUAGUUGAACGUAAAACAAUCACAGAUUCACUGAAUUACCGUUUAAGUCCAAGUUUCUUUAAUACAAUAACAAUGAUAUGGCAUCACAAUAUGUGCAUCUGUUUUUUAGUUGAUACAAAAUCUAUAACAUAAGUACUGUGAUAUGUAAAUAAUAACUAAGAAAAAAAAAAUUGUUUUGUUGUGUUCGCAGGCAUACAAUUUGAUUCGAUAUGCCUAAAUUUUUGAAUGCUAGGAGUGAGAAGCGAAGACGCCAGAGAAGAAAACAUGAAAAUAAGCCAAGGUUUAAUUGUUUGGAUUCAAAACAAGAAAAUAGCGCUAGAACUAAAACAUGUAACGCUCAACCAAAUGUUGUAGUAAAUAGUCAAUCCGAAUAUGACAUUCCCAUAACGCAUGUAAAUUCUAUGGAUGUGUUGUCCCCGAAGAACAGUUCUACAAUUGAAAACAGCAACUUUCAAUCAAUGGCUGUAGUAAAAAGUGAACCAUUAGAAUACAAUGAUGACAUCUACUUAACGCAGCUAAACUCUAAGGAUGUGUGUACCUCUAACCGCAGGAAGGUUGGCCAAUUGACAUAUGAUAAAGAUCAAGAUUUUCUAUACAUUAAGUCUGAAGAGAUCGGUGAGGAUAAGAAUCCAGAAGUAGCUGGUAAUGUCAUGCUAUACGAAAUAAAUGCAAGAAAUCCGGUAGUACUGAAUGUAAAUCAACUUAAUACUGAGUCUGGCAAACAUACAAAAAAUCAUGCGUCUGAAAUUGCAGUUACACAACAUCUACAACUUCCACAUUCUGAAAAUUCAAAAAUUCGAAAACAAAAUACAAUAUCAAAAAUUUUUACUACAAAUGGCACAACAACCAACCGAUUAAUCCCUAAAACACCAUAUUUUUUGGAAAUACCCGGAACGUCAAGCUUACUACAGAAAGCAUCGAGCGGAAGAAAAGUGGCUUCUUUAAAAAUAAACAAAACUCCCCAUGCAAAAAUCCUAACAAACUUCAGCGAAGGCACGAGUAAAUGCGCUUGUCAUUCAAAUCCAAUGAAAAACGUUGAUGUUCAUAGCAAUUUAGAACUAAAGGAUUUCUUUGAAAGAAUGUUUGAGGAGACGCGCAAAUUGAAACUCGAAGACCGUCAAACGAUUAAAACAGAAUUGCUCAAAGCAGUUUCUCAAGCUCAAGAAGAUGUGGAGGCUGGAAAGUUUUGUGAAAGGUGCUAUACAAUGUUGGCACAACCAAAGAAGAGAUGUUGACGAAUAAUUGUGGAAAUCUCAAAUUACUUAAUUGAUUUCCAUACACGCUUCCAAAAGUUUUGCGUUAUCUGCCUGAUAAGCAUGCACAAGACUUCAAACGAGCUGCAGUUCUUUACUGGCGUAGACACCGCGUACGCGGCUAUAGCAGGAGCCGAGCUAAAGUUAUACUAUAUUCGAAAAGGGGACCAUUGAUGAUUUAAAAUGCUGAUAUCUCAUUUCAUAACUUGACCAUAACUGUUCCAUAACGUCCCAGAAAAUAGAAUUUAAAUGUGACCUUGAUAACCGCAAUGAAAAAUGAAAACGGGGUAAUUUGGUAAUAUACGACAAUAACAAAAUGAAAUCUCGAGGUCUGGAUCUCUCAAAUGGAACAAAAUCUAAUGAAACUCAUACAAUUAUUUAAAAAAAAAUGUCCUUCAAUAAAACUUGUUAUGCGUACUCGUUUGAAUUGAAGAAAUGUCAGUAUUAAAAGAAUACAACCUUUUAGUGACCGAUCGAGUUCAGUUGAAAAGCAAUAAGUGAAAAGGAAAGGACCUCAUAAUGGACACAAUGAACAUUGAUCAGUACUCGUUUUAUUGACUUGAAGUUGUGGGCAGUAAGGCGGUAUAUUUUCUGUGCUGAAGGUCAUUCUUAACAUCCGGUCACACUUAGUAACACCGACCUAGCUGGUCCCAAGCCCAUGUUGAAAAAAAAGGAUGCGGGUUGGUAUGGUGGAAUGACUACUAGUAAGCGUCUCGGUCUCGGUCGUCUGGCAGCCGCAACCAGUACACAGGUCACUGUUACUAAUGCCGAAAACAAUCAGCUUCUCAAUACUGAAAAACAAAUACAAAAUCCGGAAGCAAAAUACCAAGCCCCCAGCGAGGUACCCAACAAAAUAGCUAGCAGUAGUUUAACCGCUCCAAGCAUCGAUAAUUAGUUUGUAUUCACCGCUGAUGGCGACGCUGGGCGUUCGGGAGGGAGUAUGUCAGCGGAGUGCAAAAUUUCUUCCUGGCGGUGUUCAGCGAUGGUCUAAUGGCCCUAAUCCUGUCGUCGUCCUCGGACAUAUGUGCCUUUAAGUUACAUAAUGCGCGCUUCGAAAAAGGUAAACCUGCAAAAUCUCCCCUGGAGAGUUUCCCAACUACCGUUGCGCAUUCUAAAAACAUCACAGCGUGCGAACAGACUAUACCGCUAUCGGCACGAAUAACCACUGAGAAACAUCUUGGCGCUCCUUUGUUUAAUAAUAAGGAACGUUGAAGAAUUCAUACCACAAUGAGCUCGUCGGGACACCCUGGUAACUCCUACUCGCAAUGGUUAACAGGAACAGGCGAUGCCGAGGAGCGAACUCCUUUUCAGGAGUAUAAGCCUUUUAGUAGAAAUACUGUUUAUGCAAAUUAAAUGUCGCUUGUCCCAAAUAUCUGCAUAUCAAGCCUGCGGAAGAAAAGGAAAAGCAACUAAAGUAUAUUCCUUCUCAGUAGAGAGAUGUCACAUAUGAGGAAGUUAGUUUCAAACGUAGGUGCAACUAGAUAAAGCAGAAUAGUCAGAACGCGGUGCUGGUAAAUUUCAAUAUGGAGGCUAAAAAGGACGAAAAUCGGGCUGGGAUACCAGUCCAAACGUCGGUGGGAAAAGUGGUUGCUACCACCGGCGGGCACAGCGAGUUUACAAACUGUGUCGCCAGUGGCCAUACUUCUGCUGUGAAGGGAGCAGUUCACAGUAGUAGUGCUAUUGCCAUAUUCGGUUUACAAUGUAGAGGUGCCACAGUCCAUGUAGAUAUGGACCUUGCAUGUAUUGACAGCGUCAACAUAACUGAAGAGUAAGUAUUGCCAGGCUCUUCAGGGGAUGCUGAUUCGCCGAAAAAGCCUAGGUUUAGGUCAAAACCCAAUAAGGAGGGGUUAAAAGUGAAAGCGAUCUACAAAGCUGCGGUCGAAGUCAACGGAACACUUAGCUGCAAGGAGGAAAUGUUGGCUUGGGCUACAGGAAAAAUGGAAGAAGGCCGAGCUUAUUAUGCAUCGCGACCGCUGAAAGCGAAACAGCGAGGCCAAAUGACCGACCGAAGAGGAAAUACGACGAUGUAAGACAAAAUGUCAGGCUCAGGGUCGACGGAAUAAUCGCAGGCAAUUGGCAGCUGUCCGAUGAAAGCGAAACAGCGCGUCCGUCUAAACGACAUAAAUGGAAAGACGAUGCUGUAAGGCCAAAUGUCAGUCUCGAUCGUGUUAGAAUUGACUACAACCAGCCAUACCAUACGUCGCGGCAAAAAUUCACGUUCACGGAUCCGAGAUUCGCAAAUCGGGUCGACGAAAGAAUUUCAGCCAAAUGGCAGCUGUCCGCUGAAAGCGAAACGCUCUGGCAUACUGAGAAAAUCGAAUACAACUGGCCAUACAAUACUUCACGGCAGCAAUUCACUUCGACAGAUACGGAAUUCGCAAACUGGAUCGAUGAAACAGCUUGCCCGUAUAAACGACCGAAGAGAGAAGAUGAUGCUGUAAGGCCAAACGACUGCCUCGAUCGAGAGAAACCCUCAACAUCUAGGGCGGCAGCAACGGCCAGCGAGAUAGCCAAGAGGCCCUAAUUGACCGUAGCCACCCCAUGCGCUCUUCGCAAGAAUCGAUAGGGCUCCGGGCACGCUUAUACCAAAUUUCGAUGGACGGGUGAGGACAGGUCCUCACUUCUAUGGGUAAAAGAAGUGAUUAGGAACCUUCAAGGCCUGUGGAAGGGUGCCCUUCUGGACAUUGUGGACCGUAGCUGCAUUCUCAUUCCUCCGAAAGCGAAGGUGCUCAUUCCACGAACGGUAGAACCGGAGGAUGCACUGCGGCUAUUCAGAAGAAAUAAAUUCUGAUAUGCCGACGGAAGAUUGGAGGUCUUGAAGGUUACCAACUCCGACAAGAGAGAUGUCAGCCAAUUGUACUUUCUUCAAAUAAAUAAGUCGUCCGAAGACAUUUUAAACGGCCAUCCAGACGAUAACAAUGAAAAUACGUUGAAGGAUAACGAGAUGGAGGAGGAUCUAGAAGAUAUUCUAUAGGCCACCUUGAAGCUCCAUGACGCAAGUAAGGGUGAGCCGGUGACUCAACCCGACCCCGAGAAGAAACCCGAAUUUAACAGUGAAGGUUCUUCAAACAUACCUGAAUAAUAGCAAGUAGCCUCUGACUUUAUCUAGACUAAAGUCACCAACAUACUAGUCGUACUUCCCGAGUUAAACAAACAAGAUGACCUGACUGUGGUAGACGUAAAAGAUGGCAAGAAUUAGACACACACCUUUCAUCCAGUUACAUGACCCACGGUUAUGAAGUGCCACUAUUCCAGUAGAACUCAGAAGGUUGGUGGAUGCGGCAGAUAAGACGAAGAACUCUUUUGAUAGGCACGGACGGCAAUGAGCAUAAACUCAUACUCGGUAUCUUAGGAUUUUAAAAAGUAUCAUUCGGAAUUCAAUUCGUCUCGUCAAUCUGAUCAUAUUGAUACACAAACAUAAUUCUAUAUCUUCAUUGAUGCAUUGUGCAGAAUACGCUGAAAAUCGUUACGUUACACCUAUAGAAGAAAAAAGGGCGCCGAACGUCACACCUCAAUAUAAUCUGUAAUAGUAAUAUUUGAAGGAAUUAAUACGCGCCGCGACUUCUCUGUUAGCGGCUGUUUACAAAGUCGAAUUUUUCUAAAAAAGCGAUUUAGAGAAUCACGUGCCAAUUUAAUAGUUCGAGCUAUGGAAGUUGGACUGUGUUUAAAAUAUAUAAAUAAUUUUUUAAUUUUUCUUAAGUUUAAUUUUAUUUGCCAUUACAGAUCUAUAUUUUCUAUCUAUUUACACCUAAUAAGCCCAUGUGCCAUUGAACAGAACAAAUAAUAAUCGGACGGUGCAAUACUUUGGGUAUACCAUAA
Molecule: unclassified non-coding RNA, 5151 nt
Filed under: Bactrocera tryoni
Lineage: Eukaryota; Metazoa; Arthropoda; Insecta; Diptera; Tephritidae
Description: uncharacterized LOC120776599, transcript variant X8
Source: RNAcentral